Molecule: long non-coding RNA, 765 nt
Filed under: Pan troglodytes (chimpanzee)
Lineage: Eukaryota; Metazoa; Chordata; Mammalia; Primates; Hominidae
Description: long non-coding RNA NONPTRT002027
Source: RNAcentral
UCUUCCCAGUGAGUCAGUUACCCAAGGUUGGCAUAUUUAUUCUAUUUCCUUUAAAACAAAUCACGAAACAUUUCCUCUGUGCCGGACAUCAGUCUUUUGCCUAUUUUGUUCUAUUUGUCUUUAUCUUGUUGAUGAAUACUCUUAUUCACGCUUACAGGAGCUAAAGGGUUUAUAAUCACACGAAAAUACAAAUUUUAUCCGUGCACUGUUUGAACUCCAGGAUUUCACCCCAUCAUUAAACACACUUAGCCGAGCCAACAGAGCCAUUUGCAAUUCUGAUAGGACUCAGUGCAGAGCAGCCGCCUGGACCAAAGUGGAAUCCCAGCCUCCUUCCACUCUGAGUGUGUUUGCCUGGGAGUGACCUCUGUUCUUUUAUCUUGCCAGGAGCUGAGUUAAAGGAAAUCAAUAGAGAAGAAAGCCCUUGUCCAGAAAAUAAGAGGAAGGCCAGUGAUAAGGUUAUGCAUCUACUUGUGUGGCAAAUGGAAAGAGGCAAGUAUCUGCUUGCAGGGAGCUGCCGUGCUCUCUUCUAACCAGAUUUGUAGCUUCCAGUUUAAGUAGGUUUAAAGUUUCCAACUGUGUGUGGAGUCCUUUAAGAAAAUGUGAUUUUAAAACACUCCAAGUUCUUAAGGAACGUCAUUUUCCAAAUGAGACUGAAAAGCUUGAUGUGGAUUUUAUUCUUGGCUUUAUUUCCAGCGCCCAGUAUAGACACUGGCCCAAAACAGGUCCUCCAGAAACGUCUACUGAAUAAAUGAACAAAUUGAAUCA